Molecule: ribosomal RNA, 228 nt
Filed under: uncultured Lactobacillus sp.
Lineage: Bacteria; Bacillati; Bacillota; Bacilli; Lactobacillales; Lactobacillaceae
Description: partial 16S ribosomal RNA
Rfam family: Bacterial small subunit ribosomal RNA
Source: RNAcentral
GAGAUCGGGAUAACACCUGGAAACAGAUGCUAAUACCGGAUAAUAACAGAUGAUGCCUAUCAACUGUUUAAAAGAUGGUUCUGCUAUCACUCUUGGAUGGACCUGCGGUGCAUUAGCUAGUUGGUAGGGUAACGGCCUACCAAGGCGAUGAUGCAUAGCCGAGUUGAGAGACUGAUCGGCCACAUUGGGACUGAGACACGGCCCAAACUCCUACGGGAGGCAGCAGUG